This 334-nucleotide ribosomal RNA is filed under the name uncultured Methanosaeta sp. RNAcentral's name for it is "bacterial SSU rRNA". It matches the Rfam family "Archaeal small subunit ribosomal RNA", at positions 1005 to 1338 of the family's 1478-position model. The record is from RNAcentral. Lineage: Archaea; Methanobacteriati; Methanobacteriota; Methanomicrobia; Methanotrichales; Methanotrichaceae.
CAGUUCGUACUGUGAAGCAUCCUGUUAAGUCAGGCAACGAGCGAGACCCACGUCCACAGUUGCCAGCAUACCCCUCCGGGGUGAUGGGUACACUGUGGAGACCGCGCUGCUAAAGCGGAGGAAGGAGUGGGCAACGGUAGGUCAGUAUGCCCCGAAUCUCCCGGGCUACACGCGGGCUACAAUGGUUGGUACAAUGGGCAUCUACCCCGAAAGGGGAAGGAAAUCUCUUAAAGCCAAUCGUAGUUCGGAUUGAGGGCUGCAACUCGCCCUCAUGAAGCUGGAAUCCGUAGUAAUCGCGUUUCAACAGAACGCGGUGAAUACGUCCCUGCUCCUU